RNAcentral lists this long non-coding RNA (348 nucleotides) under Androctonus crassicauda. Lineage: Eukaryota; Metazoa; Arthropoda; Arachnida; Scorpiones; Buthidae. The record is from RNAcentral.
UGGGAUACAAAUCUUUUGUCCUCAGAAACCAACAACUGUUGACCGAAAAGAACAAGAUCGAUCAGAAAAUGAAAGCCCAGGCUCUGCUUAAUGGCAUCAAGCAUGAUAGCACCAGUUUCCUGAGUUCUUCUCAGAUGAGAAUUUCAUCCAGGACAGGAAAGCGAAUUGCCAGAAUGGCUGAUAGAUAUGCCAGAAUGCCUCUGAUGUGCCCACUGUCAUGCACCCAAAUUUCCUGCCUCUGUCCUGGUCCUAGCAGUUGUAAGCAUUUGAGGAUGAUAUCAUGCCACCACACUUUUUUUGAGGAGGGCCUGAGGGUGACUGCAGAAAGUUAAUCAUUGUGCUGGAGAC